RNAcentral lists this ribosomal RNA (254 nucleotides) under uncultured bacterium. RNAcentral describes it as "partial 16S ribosomal RNA". It matches the Rfam family "Bacterial small subunit ribosomal RNA", at positions 524 to 776 of the family's 1533-position model. The record is from RNAcentral.
UACAGAGGUCUCGAGCGUUGUUCGGAUUCAUUGGGCGUAAAGGGUGCGUAGGUGGCUUGGUAAGUCGGAUGUGAAAUCCCGGGGCUCAACCCCGGAACUGCAUUCGAUACUGCCUGAGCUUGAGUCCUGGAGAGGAGAUCGGAAUUUACGGUGUAGCAGUGAAAUGCGUAGAUAUCGUAAGGAAGACCAGUGGCGAAGGCGGAUCUCUGGACAGGAACUGACACUGAGGCACGAAGGCCAGGGGAGCAAACGGG